AUACGGAGGGAGCAAGCGUUAUUCGGAAUCACUGGGCGUAAAGGACGCGUAGGCGGGUUUGUAAGUCAGGUGUGAAAUCUUACAGCUCAACUGUAGAACUGCACUUGAAACUACAGACCUAGAGUAUGGAAGGGGCAGAUGGAAUUAGUGGUGUAGGGGUAAAAUCCGUAGAUAUCACUAGGAAUACCGAAAGCGAAGGCGAUCUGCUGGGACAUUACUGACGCUGAGGCGUGAAAGCGUGGGGAGCAAACAGGAUUAGAAACCCCAGUAGUCC
RNAcentral lists this ribosomal RNA (274 nucleotides) under uncultured bacterium. RNAcentral describes it as "partial 16S ribosomal RNA". It matches the Rfam family "Bacterial small subunit ribosomal RNA", at positions 523 to 796 of the family's 1533-position model. The record is from RNAcentral.